CCUACGGGGGGCAGCAGUGGGGAAUAUUGGACAAUGGGGGCAACCCUGAUCCAGCCAUGCCGCGUGUGUGAAGAAGGCCCUCGGGUUGUAAAGCACUUUCAGUGAGGAAGAACGCCUGGUGGUUAAUACCCAUCAGGAAAGACAUCACUCACAGAAGAAGCACCGGCUAACUCCGUGCCAGCAGCCGCGGUAAUACGGAGGGUGCGAGCGUUAAUCGGAAUUACUGGGCGUAAAGCGCGCGUAGGUGGCUGGAUAAGCCGGUUGUGAAAGCCCCGGGCUCAACCUGGGAACGGCAUCCGGAACUGUCAAGCUAGAGUGCAGGAGAGGAAGGUAGAAUUCCCGGUGUAGCGGUGAAAUGCGUAGAGAUCGGGAGGAAUACCAGUGGCGAAGGCGGCCUUCUGGACUGACACUGACACUGAGGUGCGAAAGCGUGGGUAGCAAACAGGAUUAGAUACCCGGGUAGUC
RNAcentral lists this ribosomal RNA (465 nucleotides) under Vreelandella stevensii. RNAcentral describes it as "partial 16S ribosomal RNA". It matches the Rfam family "Bacterial small subunit ribosomal RNA", at positions 338 to 795 of the family's 1533-position model. The record is from RNAcentral. Lineage: Bacteria; Pseudomonadati; Pseudomonadota; Gammaproteobacteria; Oceanospirillales; Halomonadaceae.